RNAcentral lists this transfer RNA (69 nucleotides) under Ictidomys tridecemlineatus (thirteen-lined ground squirrel). RNAcentral's name for it is "Spermophilus tridecemlineatus (thirteen-lined ground squirrel) tRNA". It matches the Rfam family "tRNA". Rfam says of the family: Transfer RNA (tRNA) molecules are approximately 80 nucleotides in length. The record is from Rfam by way of RNAcentral. Lineage: Eukaryota; Metazoa; Chordata; Mammalia; Rodentia; Sciuridae.
GGGAUUGUAGCUCAGUGGUAGAGCACUUGCCUAGCAUGUGUGAGGCCCUGGGUUCGAUCCUCAGCACCA